GAUGAACGCUGGCGGCGUGCCUAAUACAUGCAAGUCGAGCGAACAGAUAAGGAGCUUGCUCCUUUGACGUUAGCGGCGGACGGGUGAGUAACACGUGGGUAACCUACCUAUAAGACUGGAAUAACUCCGGGAAACCGGGGCUAAUGCCGGAUAACAUUUAGAACCGCAUGGUUCUAAAGUGAAGGAUGGUUUUACUAUCACUUAUAGAUGGACCCGCGCCGUAUUAGCUAGUUGGUAAGGUAACGGCUUACCAAGGCAACGAUACGUAGCCGACCUGAGAGGGUGAUCGGCCACACUGGAACUGAGACACGGUCCAGACUCCUACGGGAGGCAGCAGUAGGGAAUCUUCCGCAAUGGGCGAAAGCCUGACGGAGCAACGCCGCGUGAGUGAUGAAGGUCUUCGGAUCGUAAAACUCUGUUAUUAGGGAAGAACAAAUGUGUAAGUAACUGUGCACGUCUUGACGGUACCUAAUCAGAAAGCCACGGCUAACUACGUG
RNAcentral lists this ribosomal RNA (497 nucleotides) under uncultured bacterium. RNAcentral describes it as "partial 16S ribosomal RNA". It matches the Rfam family "Bacterial small subunit ribosomal RNA", at positions 28 to 507 of the family's 1533-position model. The record is from RNAcentral.